AGUGGGGAAUAUUGGACAAUGGGCGCAAGCCUGAUCCAGCCAUGCCGCGUGUGUGAAGAAGGCCUUCGGGUUGUAAAGCACUUUUGUUGGGAAAGAAAUCCUGUCGGUUAAUACCCGGCGGGGCUGACGGUACCCAAAGAAUAAGCACCGGCUAACUUCGUGCCAGCAGCCGCGGUAAUACGAAGGGUGCAAGCGUUACUCGGAAUUACUGGGCGUAAAGCGUGCGUAGGUGGUUUGUUAAGUCAGAUGUGAAAGCCCCGGGCUCAACCUGGGAAUUGCAUUUGAUACUGGCAGACUAGAGUGCGGUAGAGGAGAGUGGAAUUCCCGGUGUAGCAGUAAAAUGCGUAGAGAUCGGGAGGAACAUCAGUUGCGAAGGCGGCUCUCUGGACCAGCACUGACACUGAGGCACGAAAGCGUGGGGAGCAAACAGGAUUAGAUACCCUGGUAGUCCACGCCCUAAACGAUGCGAACUGGACGUUGGGUGCAAUUGAGCAUUCAGUGUCGAAGCUAACGCGUUAAGUUCGCCGCCUGGGGAGUACGGUCGC
RNAcentral lists this ribosomal RNA (545 nucleotides) under uncultured bacterium. Its description in RNAcentral is "bacterial SSU rRNA". It matches the Rfam family "Bacterial small subunit ribosomal RNA", at positions 353 to 889 of the family's 1533-position model. The record is from RNAcentral.